CCUACGGGCGGCAGCAGUGGGGAAUAUUGGACAAUGGGGGGAACCCUGAUCCAGCCAUGCCGCGUGUGUGAAGAAGGCCCUCGGGUUGUAAAGCACUUUCAGUGAGGAAGAACGCCUGGUGGUUAAUACCCAUCAGGAAAGACAUCACUCACAGAAGAAGCACCGGCUAACUCCGUGCCAGCAGCCGCGGUAAUACGGAGGGUGCGAGCGUUAAUCGGAAUUACUGGGCGUAAAGCGCGCGUAGGUGGCUUGAUAAGCCGGUUGUGAAAGCCCCGGGCUCAACCUGGGAACGGCAUCCGGAACUGUCAAGCUAGAGUGCAGGAGAGGAAGGUAGAAUUCCCGGUGUAGGGGUGAAAUGCGUAGAGAUCGGGAGGAAUACCAGUGGCGAAGGCGGCCUUCUGGACUGACACUGACACUGAGGUGCGAAAGCGUGGGUAGCAAACAGGAUUAGAUACCCGAGUAGUC
RNAcentral lists this ribosomal RNA (465 nucleotides) under Vreelandella stevensii. RNAcentral's name for it is "partial 16S ribosomal RNA". It matches the Rfam family "Bacterial small subunit ribosomal RNA", at positions 338 to 795 of the family's 1533-position model. Lineage: Bacteria; Pseudomonadati; Pseudomonadota; Gammaproteobacteria; Oceanospirillales; Halomonadaceae. The record is from RNAcentral.